CCUACGGGAGGCAGCAGUGGGGAAUAUUGCACAAUGGGGGAAACCCUGAUGCAGCGACGCCGCGUGAGUGAAGAAGUAUCUCGGUACGUAAAGCUCUAUCAGCAGGGAAGAAAAUGACGGUACCUGACUAAGAAGCCCCGGCUAACUACGUGCCAGCAGCCGCGGUAAUACGUAGGGGGCAAGCGUUAACCGGAUUUACUGGGUGUAAAGGGAGCGUAGACGGGAGCACAAGUCUGGAGUGAAAUCCCGGGGCUUAACCCCGGAAGUGCUUUGGAAACUGUGCGGCUGGAGUGCAGGAGGGGUAAGCGGAAUGCGUAGUGUAGCGGUGAAAUGCGUAGAUAUUAGGAGGAACGCCGGUGGCGAAGGCGGCUUACUGGACUGUAACUGACGUUGAGGCUCGAAAGCGUGGGCAGCAAACAGGAUUAGAUACCCGGGUAGUC
This 440-nucleotide ribosomal RNA is filed under the name uncultured bacterium. RNAcentral describes it as "partial 16S ribosomal RNA". It matches the Rfam family "Bacterial small subunit ribosomal RNA", at positions 338 to 795 of the family's 1533-position model. The record is from RNAcentral.